RNAcentral lists this long non-coding RNA (398 nucleotides) under Solanum tuberosum (potato). RNAcentral describes it as "long non-coding RNA (STUB_LNC007194)". Lineage: Eukaryota; Viridiplantae; Streptophyta; Magnoliopsida; Solanales; Solanaceae. The record is from RNAcentral.
AUCUAUCACCUUAGAAUAUCGAUACGAAAAAUAUACUAAAAAUUUACAUUUUCUCAUAACUGCUGAAAAAUAUAAAAAAUAAUAAUUCGUAAACGUCUGAAAUAUAUAAAAAUCAAGAAAAAACAUAAAAACACCUCAAAAAUAUCCUGAAUCGCACUUGCCACCUUAGAAUAUCGAUACGAAUAAAAUAUCAAAAAUUUAAAUUUAUUCGUGACUACUCGAAAAAUAUCAAUAUUUUUAAUUCGUAAAUGUCCAAAAAAUAUAAAUAUCAAGAAAAAGACACAAAAACACAUCAAAAAAUUAUCGAAUCGCAGCUGUCACCUUAUUCACAAAGGUCCGAAAAAUAUAAAAAUCAAGAAAAAGACAAAAAAACACCUCAAAAAAUUCCCGAAUCCCAC